Molecule: unclassified non-coding RNA, 230 nt
Filed under: plant metagenome
Description: partial contains small subunit ribosomal RNA, internal transcribed spacer 1, and 5.8S ribosomal RNA
Source: RNAcentral
UUUCCGUAGGUGAACCUGCGGAAGGAUCAUUCCUGUUCUUUGGGGGGAGGAUGGGGUUAGUUUUUGGGGGUAAAACCUCGAUUUCUUCCUGACCUUCUCUCAUAUUGCGAUAACGUGGGAUACUUAUUAGAAGUAACCUUUUUUUACUAUUAUCAUUGAUUUAAACCAAUUUAAACACCACAAGUGCUUGCGGUGGAUCUCUUGGUUCGUACAUCGAUGAAGAACGCAGC